Long non-coding RNA from Loxodonta africana (African savanna elephant), 120 nucleotides. It matches the Rfam family "Nuclear enriched abundant transcript 1 conserved region 1". The record is from Rfam. Lineage: Eukaryota; Metazoa; Chordata; Mammalia; Proboscidea; Elephantidae.
CCAGUAGCCCCUUUUUUUCCAGGCAAAGGGUGUGAACCCACCUGCGGAUGAGGCCUGCACUUGGGGAGACUGAACUUAGCUUCACAGAGCUGAUAGCUUUGGCCCAGGGUGGUAUGUACA